Molecule: ribosomal RNA, 497 nt
Filed under: uncultured bacterium
Lineage: Bacteria
Description: partial 16S ribosomal RNA
Rfam family: Bacterial small subunit ribosomal RNA
Source: RNAcentral
GAUGAACGCUGGCGGCGUGCCUAGUACAUGCAAGUCGAGCGAACAGAUGAGGAGCUUGCUCCUCUGACGUUAGCGGCGGACGGGUGAGUAACACGUGGAUAACCUACCUAUAAGACUGGGAUAACUUCGGGAAACCGGAGCUAAUACCGGAUAAUAUAUUGAACCGCAUGGUUCAAUAGUGAAAGACGGUUUUGCUGUCACUUCUAGAUGGAUCCGCGCUGCAUUAGCUAGUUGGUAAGGUAACGGCUUACCAAGGCAACGAUGCGUAGCCGACCUGAGAGGGUGAUCGGCCACACUGGAACUGAGACACGGUCCAGACUCCUACGGGAGGCAGCAGUAGGGAAUCUUCCGCAAUGGGCGAAAGCCUGACGGAGCAACGCCGCGUGAGUGAUGAAGGUCUUCGGAUCGUAAAACUCUGUUAUUAGGGAAGAACAAAUGUGUAAGUAACUAUGCACGUCUUGACGGUACCUAAUCAGAAAGCCACGGCUAACUACGUG